CCUACGGGGGGCAGCAGUGAGGAAUAUUGGUCAAUGGACGAGAGUCUGAACCAGCCAAGUAGCGUGAAGGAUGACUGCCCUAUGGGUUGUAAACUUCUUUUAUAUGGGAAUAAAAUGUUCCACGUGUGGGAUUUUGUAUGUACAAUAUGAAUAAGGAUCGGCUAACUCCGUGCCAGCAGCCGCGGUAAUACGGAGGAUCCGAGCGUUAUCCGGAUUUAUUGGGUUUAAAGGGAGCGUAGGUGGAUUGUUAAGUCAGUUGUGAAAGUUUGCGGCUCAACCGUAAAAUUGCAGUUGAAACUGGCAGUCUUGAGUACAGUAGAGGUGGGCGGAAUUCGUGGUGUAGCGGUGAAAUGCUUAGAUAUCACGAAGAACUCCGAUUGCGAAGGCAGUUCACUGGACUGCAACUGACACUGAGGCUCGAAAGUGUGGGUAUCAAACAGGAUUAGAUACCCGAGUAGUC
RNAcentral lists this ribosomal RNA (460 nucleotides) under uncultured bacterium. RNAcentral describes it as "partial 16S ribosomal RNA". It matches the Rfam family "Bacterial small subunit ribosomal RNA", at positions 338 to 795 of the family's 1533-position model. The record is from RNAcentral.